Molecule: long non-coding RNA, 162 nt
Organism: Sebastes umbrosus (honeycomb rockfish)
Lineage: Eukaryota; Metazoa; Chordata; Actinopteri; Perciformes; Sebastidae
Exons: 3
Source: RefSeq, a predicted model, not a curated record
AGACAUAAUAGUGCAUGGGAUGAUCAUCAUAUACUUCUAUCAUAAUGUUCAAAGCCCUUAUACACUUUUACAAUUCAUUUCAAAUAAUGAAUUAAUUAGUUCAUGUUUAUUUCUGAUUUAUGUCUAGAACAACCUGACACACAGUGCUGGUCUGCAUCUCAA